GAUGAACGCUGGCGGCGUGCCUAAUACAUGCAAGUCGAGCGAACGGACGAGAAGCUUGCUUCUCUGAUGUUAGNNCGGCGGACGGGUGAGUAACACGUGGAUAACCUACCUAUAAGACUGGGAUAACUUCGGGAAACCGGAGCUAAUACCGGAUAAUAUUUUGAACCGCAUGGUUCAAAAGUGAAAGACGGUCUUGCUGUCACUUAUAGAUGGAUCCGCGCUGCAUUAGCUAGUUGGUAAGGUAACGGCUUACCAAGGCAACGAUGCAUAGCCGACCUGAGAGGGUGAUCGGCCACACUGGAACUGAGACACGGUCCAGACUCCUACGGGAGGCAGCAGUAGGGAAUCUUCCGCAAUGGGCGAAAGCCUGACGGAGCAACGCCGCGUGAGUGAUGGAGGUCUUCGGAUCGUAAAACUCUGUUAUUAGGGAAGAACAUAUGUGUAAGUAACUGUGCACAUCUUGACGGUACCUAAUCAGAAAGCCACGGCUAACUACGUGCCAGCAGCCGCGGUAAUACGUAGGUGGCAAGCGUUAGCCGGAAUUAUUGGGCGUAAAGCGCGCGUAGGCGGUUUUUUAAGUCUGAUGUGAAAGCCCACGGCUCAACCGUGGAGGGUCAUUGGAAACUGGAAAACUUGAGUGCAGAAGAGGAAAGUGGAAUUCCAUGUGUAGCGGUGAAAUGCGCAGAGAUAUGGAGGAACACCAGUGGCGAAGGCGACUUUCUGGUCUGUAACUGACGCUGAUGUGCGAAAGCGUGGGGAUCAAACAGGAUUAGAUACCCUGGUAGUCCACGCCGUAAACGAUGAGUGCUAAGUGUUAGGGGGUUUCCGCCCCUUAGUGCUGCAGCUAACGCAUUAAGCACUCCGCCUGGGGAGUACGACCGCGAGGUUGAAACUCAAAGGAAUUGACGGGGACCCGCACAAGCGGUGGAGCAUGUGGUUUAAUUCGAAGCAACGCGAAGAACCUUACCAAAUCUUGACAUCCUUUGACAACUCUAGAGAUAGAGCUUUCCCCUUCGGGGGACAAAGUGACAGGUGGUGCAUGGUUGUCGUCAGCUCGUGUCGUGAGAUGUUGGGUUAAGUCCCGCAACGAGCGCAACCCUUAAGCUUAGUUGCCAUCAUUAAGUUGGGCACUCUAAGUUGAUUGCCGGUGACAAACCGGAGGAAGGUGGGGAUGACGUCAAAUCAUCAUGCCCCUUAUGAUUUGGGCUACACACGUGCUACAAUGGACAAUACAAAGGGCAGCGAAACCGCGAGGUCAAGCAAAUCCCAUAAAGUUGUUCUCAGUUCGGAUUGUAGUCUGCAACUCGACUACAUGAAGCUGGAAUCGCUAGUAAUCGUAGAUCAGCAUGCUACGGUGAAUACGUUCCCGGGUCU
RNAcentral lists this ribosomal RNA (1374 nucleotides) under uncultured bacterium. RNAcentral's name for it is "bacterial SSU rRNA". It matches the Rfam family "Bacterial small subunit ribosomal RNA", at positions 28 to 1381 of the family's 1533-position model. The record is from RNAcentral.